AACGAACGCUGGCGGCAUGCCUAACACAUGCAAGUCGAACGAGACCUUCGGGUCUAGUGGCGCACGGGUGCGUAACGCGUGGGAACCUGCCCUUAGGUUCGGAAUAACUCCCCGAAAGGGGUGCUAAUACCGGAUAAUGUCUUCGGACCAAAGAUUUAUCGCCUUUGGAUGGGCCCGCGUUGGAUUAGCCAGUUGGUAGGGUAAAAGCCUACCAAGGCGACGAUCCAUAGCUGGUCUGAGAGGAGGAUCAGCCACACUGGGACUGAGACACGGCCCAGACUCCUACGGGAGGCAGCAGUGGGGAAUAUUGGACAAUGGGCGAAAGCCUGAUCCAGCAAUGCCGCGUGAGUGAUGAAGGCCUUAGGGUUGUAAAGCUCUUUUACCCGGGAUGAUAAUGACAGUACCGGGAGAAUAAGCUCCGGCUAACUCCGUG
This 433-nucleotide ribosomal RNA is filed under the name uncultured bacterium. Its description in RNAcentral is "partial 16S ribosomal RNA". It matches the Rfam family "Bacterial small subunit ribosomal RNA", at positions 29 to 507 of the family's 1533-position model. The record is from RNAcentral.